GGGGAGAUACCCAAGUGGCCAAAGGGGGCAGGCUGUAAACCUGUUGUCGUAUGACUUCGAAGGUUCGAAUCCUUCUCUCCCCA
Transfer RNA from Denitrovibrio acetiphilus DSM 12809, 83 nucleotides. It matches the Rfam family "tRNA". From Rfam's summary of the family: Transfer RNA (tRNA) molecules are approximately 80 nucleotides in length. Their secondary structure includes four short double-helical elements and three loops (D, anti-codon, and T loops). The record is from Rfam. NCBI's taxonomy places the organism in Bacteria, Pseudomonadati, Deferribacterota, Deferribacteres, Deferribacterales, Geovibrionaceae.